ACCAAGAUCUCGCAUGCGCCGUAGUAGCCUACUCGCCGCUUUAAACCAAGGCUGGACAGAUGUUAAGCAGCCUGGUUGAGGGGUGAAACUCCGGGAAAACAUUUUAAAGAGGGAGCUGAAGAGUCAACGCUGACCAUAUUAAUGUAGGGACAAAAUAAAUAACGGGCAUCAUGUUGAGAAAAUAGUUCCAGAUAUGUCAGCAGCAGGAGCGACGCGGAAAUGUCCACAACCGAGCAACAGCCAAAUCGAGUCAGUGGUAGAGGAUGACAGCAGCUGGGUCCAGUGGAGCGGUCAACGCCGUCUGCACCCAAGACUCCUCCCACUCACCUAAAACAACCUGCCCACAAACCACAUGGCCCUGCCCACUCUGCUUCCCACGGCAACAGAAGGAUGAGCUCGAAGUCAGACUCCGCCUCCGCUCCCCUCCUGGGGCGUGGCUACUAGCGGGCAUUGUCGUGGUGAUGGUGGGAAUGUUUGUGGCCGUGGCCGGGUAUGCUAGCUCCACCCCUAACCCUGUGGGUGGGCGAGGCAGCUCCCACAGCGAGCGAAUGAAACUGCUCGGCCCUGUCGUGAUGGGCAUCGGCCUGUUCAUCUUCAUCUGUGCUGGAACCUUGCUGUAUGAGAACCGGGACCGUGAGAACCGAGAGCGUGAGAACCUUGAGAACCCUGAGGAGCAGGGGAAAUGCAAACACAAGAAAACAAGGGAAUGGCGCCGGGAGAACCGUGAUUAUGAGGAUGUGGAACAGGGGAACCAGAGAGAGCCCUCAGACAAACACUCCCCUCUCCCUGAGGAGUGCCCGCCCCCCCUGCCUCCCAGAGUGCCUAGACAGGAGGGGUCAGAGUUGAACGUUCUCUCUGUGGGGGCGCUGAGCUCACUGCUACCAGGGGAGGGACAGGGGCGUGAAGAGAGAGUCAGAGAGGUGGGGGGUAAAGGGGGGUCAACCCUGCUGACCAGAGUCCUGCACCACCAGGACCCCCCCUCCUCCUGUCCCUCCCCAGCUCCCUCCUCUGUGUACUCUGACUCCUGUAACUCCAGUGAGAUCAACUAUAACAUUCAGACAGGCUCCCCUAUCCACUCUAUUCUCCAACUCUGAGAUACUACUGUACUCACAUCUGUACACGCUUUUCUAAAUAAAUGCACCACAUAUUUCUCCAUCUCUCUCUGUGGUUUCCAUAGGCUGUAGAUGCAGUGGAGUGUGUUGGGCAUCUCUCUCUACCCCUCUAGGACGUCAGGGCCAGGGGGAGACAGGGCUAGGUGACGUCAGCUUGUUGUUGUGUAGUAAAGUCUCUCUCAGGGGUGUUUGACUGUAUUUGGGCUUAGGAGAGGAUUCCACUGCAGACAGUGACUAUGGUGCCAUCCUGAAUGAUGCGCGUACACACACUAAAUACGGCCAGACAUUCCACUAUGGAACAGGCUGCUUUGGAGAACUUUGAUUCAUGAUGUCGUUUUAACUGUAACUCAAAGUUUUAUCUAAUAUUAGUGACUCUGUUUGUCAUGGCUGUUCUCCUAUAGGGUUUCUGUUUACACACACCCAAACUUGGCUCGAGAUGGACGGAAAUCAUAGCAAUGAAAACAAAGUGAAUGCCUUCUCAUAGUUGGCUGUUGGCUGUCUACAUGCUUACUCUUUACUUGAGUUAGAUGUUACUACCCAAUAACUGGUAGAAUCCACGUUGUUCCACUUCAUUUCAACAAAACAUUUGCAAAAAGUCAACGUAAGGCAAUUGCGUCCUUUUCCCACCCAAAUUUUUACCUAAAUCCAAUGUCAUUGUGAAUUUGUUUUGUUGACUUCACGUUGAAUUCACGUUAGCUGACAACUCUACCAAAUGUGCCCAGUCUGUUUGCAGUGCAUAUAUGAAGUAUAUCUUUGCAGCAAACCUUUGGUCUUUAAGGUACACAAAACCAUUAGGAUGUUAGACUGGGUUUAAUUGAAUAGAGCCCACAGAUGCAGAUGCAGUAAAAGGGGGGAGGAGGAGGGAGAGAUGAAGGGGGGAGAGGGAGGGGUGAAUUUAAUUGUCCUGAGUGUUCUCCUCUAGCCUCCAAUUACACUGUGGAACCGACCAAGGGUUUUUUAUUGGUAUUUCAGGACUGCAGAGUAUUUCCUCUGUUGUUCAGACACAUGCUGGGAUAAUGCCAUUGAGAUUAGUGAGGAACGCCAAGACUACCUUGCCCUGCACAGCCAGACACAUCUACACAACACACACACACAACCGCAUGCAUGCUUUCACACAUGCUAAACCACUCACACCUCAUACUGCUUUUGAACCCAUUAACCCCGGGUUCACCACCAGUGACACUACCAGGGAUAGACCAGUACUUGGUUUCUCGCUUCUGACUAUGCUAAUACUGGGAAGUGUGUGUUUUUUGUGAGUUUAAUGCAGCAGCUGAAUUAUGUGGUCAGUCAGUGUUUGAUUGCUGGACUGUAAUCCUGAACAUCAGAUUAAAUUCACAUGUAAUCCCUGCCUGACCCUAACACUUACUCUCACAAUGCUCCACCUAUGGCCUCCCAUAACACACACAAGCACAAGCACACACCCUCUCUGUCCCACACGGAGAUAACCUGUGCAUUGUAUUUCUACUCUUGCUGUUGCCUAGGUUUGUUUAACUGUCUCAGUCUGUCUCUGUGUUACACAAUCCCACAAACCGGACAGUUGUUUUAGUCUCCCUCUAAUGUCAGUCAUACAUUUUAUUAGAGUUUAUGCAGGAUCAGUACUGUGGGACUGGGAGCACUGUCUCUAAGCUGCUUAACUCCUCGCUGAGUCAGACACGUGUGUUUUACCGAGGAGGGAGACCCUACUGGGGUUACAGGACCAGAGACAGAGUGCUGAAUCCUAACACCAAUCCAAACAUGCAAAUCACAACUUUGUGCAAAUAUCCCAUUGAUCAGUAGAUAGUCAGGAUCUCAAGUUAGUGUUUCAACUUGGCACCGCAACAACACCUGGGACAUCUGUGACCCACAGCAACAACACCUGGGACACCUGGGAUUCACAGCAACAACACCUGGGGCACCUGUGACCCACAGCAACAACACAUGGGACACCUGUGACCCACAGCAACAACACCUGGGACACCUGUGACCCACAGCAACAACACCUGGGACACCUGUGACCCACAGCAACAACAGCUGGGACAUCUGUGACCCACAGCAACAACACCUGGGACAUCUGUGACCCACAGCAACAACACCUGGGACAUCUGUGACCCACAGCAACAACACCUGGGACACCUGUGACCCACAGCAACAACACCUGGGACCCACAUCAACAACACCUGGGAACCACAGCAACAACACCUGGGACCCACAGCAACAACGCCUUCACAUAAAAUGAGGAUGAUCAGGAGGAGCAACGGGAGGGGCCUCUGCAGUGUUUCCGCUGUGACCUGGGCUUCUGGGAUGCCUGCUACACCACCAAAACCAACUGCAAUAUCGGGGAGAAGUGCUACACUGGCCGAGGGAAGGCAGGUGAUGUGUUGGAAGUUAAGUUGCUGGGCUGUGUCAAGGCGAAGGAGUGUGAGCUGGUGACCAAUGUGGAGCUCUUCUCCAACACAACCAUCUACAUGAUGACCAGGCACUGCUGCGACACACACUUCUGCAACACCGGACACACACUACCCCUCAACACACUCCUCUCCCUGUCACUGACUACAAUAACCAUGAUCCUCACCUUCAACAGAAUACAAUAACUACCAUGCAUCAUAAAGUCCCCAGCAGCACACAUUUAUUCAGAUUUUCUUAAUUCUGUUAAUAUUCUGUGUUUAUUUGUCAAGGAAUAUGGACAGUAAUUAACAUAUGUGGAUGUGCCAGAUUGAGGCAAAAGUCUCAUGUUCAACCCUUAGAAGCUGUCUCUGGGCUUGGGAAAAAUUGGUUAGAUGGUUUUAUGGAAUUCAAUUUUGAAUAAAUGUAAUUUUCUCAUUCUGUUGUUGGCAUAAACUAGAAAAGUAGACAGAAAAUAAAAUCCAAUCAUGUUUAUUGAA
This is an RNA transcript of Oncorhynchus kisutch (coho salmon), 3973 nucleotides long. It is a transcript of the gene named sperm acrosome membrane-associated protein 4, with no coding region annotated. NCBI's taxonomy places the organism in Eukaryota, Metazoa, Chordata, Actinopteri, Salmoniformes, Salmonidae. The record is from RefSeq and is a predicted model, not a curated record. The transcript has 4 exons.